This 200-nucleotide ribosomal RNA is filed under the name uncultured bacterium. Its description in RNAcentral is "partial 16S ribosomal RNA". It matches the Rfam family "Bacterial small subunit ribosomal RNA", at positions 524 to 723 of the family's 1533-position model. The record is from RNAcentral.
UACGAAGGGUGCAAGCGUUAAUCGGAAUUACUGGGCGUAAAGCGUGCGUAGAUGGUUCAUUAAGUCGGAUGUGAAAGCCCCGGGCUCAACCUGGGAAUGGCAUCCGAUACUGGUGGACUAGAGUGCGGUAGAGGAGAGCGGAAUUCCCGGUGUAGCGGUGAAAUGCGUAGAGAUCGGGAGGAACAUCCGUGGCGAAGGCG